Molecule: ribosomal RNA, 501 nt
Filed under: uncultured bacterium
Lineage: Bacteria
Description: bacterial SSU rRNA
Rfam family: Bacterial small subunit ribosomal RNA
Source: RNAcentral
GAUGAACGCUGGCGGUGUGCCUUAUACAUGCAUGUCGAACGAGGCGUAGCAAUACGUCUAGUGGCAAAUGGGUGAGUAAUAAAUAGGUAACCAACCCUUAAGACGGGGAUACCCCAUCGAAAGAUGGAAUAAUACCCGAUAAUGUCCCUUCCGGUGCGCUGGAGGGGAAGAAAGAUGGCGCAAGCUAUCACUUUUUGGACGGGCUUAUUUCCUAUCAGCUAGUUGGUGAGGUAACGGCUUACCAAGGCUACGACGGGUAGCUGGUCUGAGAGGACGGUCAGCCACAUUGGGACUGCGACACGGCCCAGACUCCUACGGGAGGCAGCAGUCGGGAAUAUUCGGCCAAUGCGCGAAAGCGUGACCGAGCGACACCGCGUGGGCGACGAAGGAUCUUAGGAUUGUAAAGCCCUUUUGCCAGGGAAGAAUACGCUGGAGACAAUAUCAAUAGCGUUUGACGGUACCUGGCGAAUAAGCCGCAGCAACUACGUGCCAGCAGCCGAC